This 284-nucleotide unclassified non-coding RNA is filed under the name fungal sp. Its description in RNAcentral is "partial internal transcribed spacer region". The stretch from base 1 to 46 matches the Rfam family "Eukaryotic small subunit ribosomal RNA", at positions 1786 to 1831 of the family's 1831-position model. Lineage: Eukaryota; Fungi. The record is from RNAcentral.
AAGUCGUAACAAGGUUUCCGUAGGUGAACCUGCGGAAGGAUCAUUAACGAAUGAUUUCCAAUCUACCUUAAUGUUAUCAAAUUAUUCUUCAUGAUCUUUCAUUGAUAACAUUCUAUGCUUGUCAUAGAUUUAAGAGGAGUUCCCAUUUUCGGAUGGGAAUUAAGAUCAUCCUCGAAUUAUUAUUUUUACCAUGUAAAAUAUUAUCAGAAUUGUUGGGAUUUAAAGAAAUUUAAAUCUUGUGAAAAAACAAAAAAUAACUGUUAGCAACGGAUACCUAGGCUCUU